Molecule: ribosomal RNA, 274 nt
Filed under: uncultured bacterium
Lineage: Bacteria
Description: partial 16S ribosomal RNA
Rfam family: Bacterial small subunit ribosomal RNA
Source: RNAcentral
AUACGGAGGGUGCGAGCGUUAAUCGGAAUUACUGGGCGUAAAGCGCGCGUAGGCGGUUUGGUCAGUCGGAUGUGAAAGCCCUAGGCUCAACCUGGGAAUGGCAUUCGAUACUGCCUGACUAGAGUAUGGUAGAGGGAAGUGGAAUUUCCGGUGUAGCGGUGAAAUGCGUAGAUAUCGGAAGGAACACCAGUGGCGAAGGCGACUUCCUGGGCCAAUACUGACGCUGAGGUGCGAAAGCGUGGGAAGCAAACAGGAUUAGAAACCCGAGUAGUCC